RNAcentral lists this ribosomal RNA (253 nucleotides) under uncultured bacterium. Its description in RNAcentral is "partial 16S ribosomal RNA". It matches the Rfam family "Bacterial small subunit ribosomal RNA", at positions 524 to 776 of the family's 1533-position model. The record is from RNAcentral.
UACGGAGGGUGCAAGCGUUAUCCGGAUUCACUGGGUUUAAAGGGUGCGUAGGCGGGUAAGUAAGUCAGUGGUGAAAUCUCAGAGCUUAACUCUGAAACUGCCAUUGAUACUAUUUGUCUUGAAUGUUCUGGAGGUGAGCGGAAUAUGUCAUGUAGCGGUGAAAUGCUUAGAUAUGACAUAGAACACCAAUUGCGUAGGCAGCUCACUACGGAAAUAUUGACGCUGAGGCACGAAAGCGUGAGGAUCAAACAGG